AGGAGCUUCAGGCACCAUGCAUAGCCAAUAAAUCAGAAUAAACAACUAGUCAGGAAAAUCAAAUGCUUGGAUUUUAUUAUUAAAAUAUUUUCAAAGCUGAUGAAAUUGGAAAAUGACGAACCGAGACCUGACUCUAUUGCUCAUCCCCAAGUUAAGAGAGCCAGCUUUCAGCUCACCUGCUGGGCAACUUGACAGAAAGAAUGCACACACACACACACACACACACACACACACUCACACACAUACCUCCCCUCCUAGACCUUCCAAGCAGGGAGUCUCGCCCGAGUAACACAUACCCUUUACUCGCAUUCUUCCCUUGAUUUAUCAGGAGAGAAUGGUCAGAACUUAACAGAAAAAAAAGGACCCAGGCUCUUGGGUUCUGAGAGGGGAUGGGGUGAGGCUGUCUGUCAUGAUGACCUUGACCUUUUCCUUCCUGCACCUCCAGAUUCCCUCUCCCCUUCUUUAAGAGUGGAGGAGGUGGUACCUAGGGGCCAGGACCCUCCAUUUCAGUCUGUACAAACCACUAAUUCCUUCUGUGCCCUUAGGCAAGUCACUCGCCCUGCCUGGUCAAUAAAGUCUCCUUCUUUACUGAAAAAUACAUCAGCUUGCCUCAUGUGGAUGUCCUGAGACAUAAAUGACAGAUGGGAAAUGAGGGGCUUUGUAAGAUUUAAAAUGCUGUGUCCCUGAGAAGGAUGUUGCACUGGUUUGGAGCCAGGAUCUGAUAAACAGGAGACAAAUGAAACACUGGAAUAAAAAAAUACUUGUAACUUAUAUGAAAAAAAUAAACGUAUGUUAUUAAUAUACAAAGAGCUCUAACCAAUCAAUAAGAAAAAAUCCUGGGAAAUUGAUAUGAACAUAGGCAGAUCAGAAAUGAAGAAAUUCAAGUGCUUAUGAACAUAUUGGAGAAUAAUAAUAGCUUACAUUUACUUGGCCCUUAUUUUGAGCCAGGAACUGUGCUGGCACUUUACAUGAAUGAUGCCAUUAAAUCCUCCAAUCCAAUUAAUAAGGUAAAGACCCAUUACCAUCCUCAUUCUAUAGAUGAAGAAACUGAGGUCCAGGGAGGUUCAGCAACUUUCCCAGCAUCACACAGCUUGAGAGUGCCAGAACAGGAAUUCUCACUCACGCAGUCCGGCAGACCACAACCUCACUCACAGGGAACAGAUUGCAAAUCACAAUAACUAGGAAGACAUUGUUCCUUCACUUAUCAAAUUAGCCAAAAUAUUAAAGUUCGAUUAACAAUCAAAUAUUGGCGUGGGUAUGAGAAAAUAUGCGUUUUCAUGUAUUAUUGGUGCAAUCUUUCUGGGGAGCAAUUUGCCAAUACCGGUAGAUAUUUUACAUGUACCACUUGAUGAAAAAUUUAUCCUACAGAUAUACUCACACCUGAACAUAAAACUAUACAUACAAGGAUAUUUAUUUUUAUAUGAGAAAAAGGAACUCUCAUUCAUUGCUAGUAGGAAUACGAAAUUGUACAGAGAUAGUUUGGCAGUUUCUUAUGAAGCUAAACAUAGUCUUACAGCAAUGUUGCCCUGCGUAUUUAACCAACUGAAGUAAACAUAUGUCCACAUCAAAACCUGCACAUGAAUAUUUAUAGUAGUUUUAUUCAUAAUAGUCAAAACCUGAAAGCAACCAAGAUGCCCUUUGGUAGAUGAAUAAAUGGCAGUAUGCCCAGACAACAGAACAUUUUUCAGCACUAAAAAGAAAUGAGUUCUCAAGCUAUGAAAAUACAUGGAGGAAGCUUAAAUCCAUAUUGCUAGGUGAAAGAAGCCUGUCUGAAAAGGCUACAUGCUACAUGAAGCCAACUCUGUGACAUUCAGGAAAACUAUAGAGACAGUAAAAAGAUCAGUGGUUGCCAGGAGUCCUGGGGAAGGUAAGAGGGGUGAAUGGACGGAGCACAGGGGAUUUUUAGGUGGUCCAACUAUUCUGUAUGCUACUGGAGUGGGAGAUACACCACAUGGAUUUUCAAAAUCCAGAGAAGUGUCCAACACAAAGAGUAAACUUUAAACCAUGAACUUUAGGAAACAGUAAUGCAUCAAUAUUGGUGCAUUAAUUGUAACAAAUGUACCAUGUUGUACACUAUGCAAGCUCAUAAUAGGAGAAAGUGUAUGAGAGUGAGAAAGUGUAGGGGAACUCUGUAUUUUCUGCAUACUUUUUCUCUUAAUUAAAUCUCAUCUAAGAAAUAAAUCUAUUAAGUUAAAAAAAAUGUGAGGUGUAACAUAAAGUCCAGAAAAAGAAGUCUGGUUUAAUUUUAAAAGGCACUUGUAUACUAUGCCAUACAAUAUGCCCAGGAAGAAAAUAAAGAAAAUAUUGUUAUAUGUGGCAGUAUUAUCUACAAGACAUAUCUUAAUUUUUUUUUUCUUUUUUUGGCAGAGUCUCGCUCUGUUGCCCAGGCUGGAGUGCAGCGGCACAAUCUCAGCUCAUUGCAACCACCACCUCCUGGGUUCAAGCGAUUCUCCUGACUGUAGCUGGGAUUACAGGCACCCGCCACCACGCCCAGCUAAUUUUUGUAUCUUUAGUAGCGACAGGAUUUCACCAUGUUGGCCUGGCUAGUCUGGAACUCUUGACCUCAGGUGAUCCUCCCACCUCAGCCUCCCAAAGUGCUGGAAUUACACGCAUGAGCCACCAUGCCUGGCCUAUCUUAAAGAAUUAAUACAGAAUAGUAUCUAAGUGGGAUCUCACUUGUAUGGAAUAUUCAGAGGUCUGAGCUUGUGAUUACCAAGGAAGUUUGUGGAAGGCCCAUGGAAAUUAUUAACAUCUUCAGUGGUAAUCUGCGGGAAUUCCAGACAAGGGCGAGGAUCAGACCUUCAGUUUACACAGUAUUUGAAAUUCCUAUCAUGAAUAAAACAAAAGGCCGAGGUCUGUACUGUUUUAAAUUCUUAUCAUAAGUACGUAUUACUUUCAUUUUUGAAAAGACAAACAAAAUGACCGCCCUGGAGUCACACAGACUGGAGUGUGAAUUCCAGCAACUGAAUUCCAGAGUUGAAAUGCAGCAGCCAUCGUGGGGCUAAGGACAGCCUUCACUACGCUCUAAAGAUGGCACAGCACAAAUAUGGAAAGAACCUGAAUCCAUGUCCACACUGAGCCACACAGCCCACCCAGAAGCCAGUUACCUCCUAAAUUCUUCAGUGGGAAGGUGAACAUUCUAUAAUAAUUGUUUAGCUAACUUUCAGUUCAAAAUUAACUUACUUGUAGCUGAAAGUGUCCUAAGGAAGACAGCAGCUCAGAGAGGCCUUGUGCGCAUGGAAGGAAAGAGGAAUGGGUGUUCAAGAUACAGCCACUUCCUUGACCCUCUCCCCAAGAAGAAGGGAAGCCCAGCCCUUUGCGGGUGUCAUGGGGUAAAGCCCCAAACUGAGGUUCAGCCUGGGAGGCUACGUCGGUUCUUGGCUUCACCCAGGAAGGAAUUCAAGAGCCAGCCAACAGAGUAAAGUGAAAGCAAGUUUAUUAGGGUGGAUCACUUGAGGCCAGGAGUUCAAGAGCUGCCUGGCCAACAUGGUUAAACUCCAUCUCUACUAAAAAUACAAAAAUUAGCCAGGCCUGGUGGUGCACACCUGUAGUCCUAGCUACUCGGGAGGCUGAGGCUGAGGCAGGAGAAUCGCUUGAACCCAGAGGCUGAGGUUGCAGUGAGCGAGAUUGUGCCACUUGCACUCCAGCCUGCAAGACUCCGUCUCAACAACAACAACAACAACAAAAUGAUGAAGGCAGACCAAAGGUUUGCACCACCAUAUUUGCACAGAGGCUCAGAGGCACAGCUUAGGGGGGAAAGAGAGGAAGUCCUCUUCAUCCAGCCCCUCGUGAGGAUGAGCUGCAUCUGGAGUCGAAGAGGCUCCGAGGGUCCCGGCUUGGAGCGAAAUGCCCACCAGGAGGCGUCGGGUCCUGUCACGGGCCGCGCCGCCCAGGACCACGCCUGGCCCGGGACCCACGCCAGUCCGGGGACACACACCUAGCCGCAAACCAGACCGCGGGAUCAGCCGCAAGCCACCCUCUCCAGCGCCGCCCUGCACCGCAGAUCAGGGUAGGAGAUUAGAGUAGGAACGCGGAGGGGUGGGGGAGGGGUGGGCGAGGGGUGGGGGAGGGGUGGGGUGGGCGGAGGGGCCUAUCUGCUCCCAGUCCCUAUGACACAGGGACUAAGAGUACCUAAAGCCCUGGGAGAGGAGGAGGAAAGGUCAGGCAGGGACUAGGCGCAAAAUUUAAGGCAACACUAAGUGAUUCGGUAACCAAGAUAAAUCAUAUUUUAAUUAUUUUAAAGCAGUGUUUUAAAAUAAAAACUAAUGAAAAAAUGAUAAAAUAUCAAAAAUUUCAAUAAAGCAGCAUCCGACUUCCUGCCCAGCUGUCCUACGGUAUCCCAGGUGCCAGCCCCCUGUGUCCACACCCCUGCUGGUUCCUGCCCCACCCCUUCCCCCAGCCCAGGAGGCUUCCACCCCUUCAAGAAUUGAAAUCUUCACAAGAAGCCCUUGCCCAUCUCCCUGAAUACCCCCAACUCUGAAGAGAAAAAAAAUCAAACCAAAGAGUUUUCCUCAAGAGUUGCAGGCUGGGCUUACAAAAGCCACAAAGCUUGUGUACAAAAUGACACCCUUGGCCACCAUCUCCCAGUCUGUUGACUGCUAAAAAUGAGAAGUGAACAGAGAGAAGGCCAGGCAGAAGGCUGCAGGGCAGGGGCCAGGUGGGCAGCAACAGGGAACAAAUCUGAGUGGAGGGGAGAAUUCUACCCCUCCCAGGGUUCCAGCCCCAACAGAGGCUCCCUGCUUGGGCCUUGCUCAGGCCUGGGAGGGUGAUAUGCUUUGGCUGUGUCCCCACCCAAAAUCUCAUCUUGAAUUGUAAUCCCUAUAAUCCCCAUGUGACAAGGGAGAGAUCAGGUGGAGGUGAUGGAAUCGUGGGGGCGGUUCCCCCAUGCUGUUCUUGUGAUAGUAAGUUCUCACGAGAUCUGAUGGUUUUAUAAGUGUUUGGUAGUUCCUUCUGCAUUCAUUUUCCUUCCUGCUGCCUUGUGAAGAAGGUGCCUUGCUUCUCCUUCGCUGUCUGCCAUGAUUGUAAGUUUCCUGAGGCUUCCUGUAAGUUUCCUGAGGCUCCCCGGGCCACGUGGAACUGUGAGUCAAUUAAACCUCUUUCCUUUAUAAAUUA
Molecule: long non-coding RNA, 5112 nt
Organism: Homo sapiens (human)
Lineage: Eukaryota; Metazoa; Chordata; Mammalia; Primates; Hominidae
Exons: 2
Source: RefSeq, a predicted model, not a curated record